This 411-nucleotide ribosomal RNA is filed under the name uncultured bacterium. Its description in RNAcentral is "bacterial SSU rRNA". It matches the Rfam family "Bacterial small subunit ribosomal RNA", at positions 62 to 507 of the family's 1533-position model. The record is from RNAcentral.
UCGAGCGCCGUAGCAAUACGGAGCGGCAGACGGGAGAGUAACACGUGGGAACGUGCCCUUUGGUUCGGAACAACCCAGGGAAACUUGGGCUAAUACCGGAUAAGUCCGUAAGGAGAAAGAUUUAUCGCCAAAGGAUCGGCCCGCGUCUGAUUAGCUAGUUGGUGAGGUAACGGCUCACCAAGGCGACGAUCAGUAGCUGGUCUGAGAGGAUGAUCAGCCUCACUGGGACUGAGACACGGCCCAGACUCCUACGGGAGGCAGCAGUGGGGAAUAUUGGACAAUGGGGGAAACCCUGAUCCAGCAACGCUGCGUGAGGGAUGAAGGUCUUCGGAUCGUAAACCUCUUUUCUGGGGGACGAAUACCCGCAAGGGUUUGACGGUACUCCAGGAAUAAGCCACGGCUANAUAUGUG